GAAAAUUGUGAAACCUCAUUGUUGAGCAAGAGAAGUUUCGGCCAAUCUUCCUACCUUGCUUUGGGUGAGUUUUUUUGGUCCAUUUCUAUUAAUUUUUUAUGUUUUUGAGUUUGUUUUAGCUUAGUCUAACUAAUCCGAAGGUUGAUUUGUGAAAUCGUUAGAAGUUUAGGGACUUACCAUGAAUGUGAUAAAUGUAUUUGUGAACUUAGUUAUUAAAUCCUUGAGUUGAAGGUUAAGUAUAAGUAUUUUAAUAAAUGAUUUUUGAUGAUUUUGAGUUGAAGGACCUAUUUGAGAGUAUAGUAAAAUGCAAUGUGAAUAAUAUGAUAUGAUAGAAAUUUUGGGCUAAAUUGAAAAAUUAGAAAAAAAAUUGGCUAGUUUGUUUUUGCAUGGAUUGUAGUUAAAUUGUGAAUAUCGGUUUAAAGACUUAAUUGUACCAAUGUUAAAGUGUUGAAGGUAAUUUUGUAAAAUCACCUUAAAAAGGGUUAUGAGUUCGAAUUAGUUAUUUUAAGUUGAAUUUGAAUGAUUUAAUUGAAUAAAAUUAUUAUUUAGAUCAAGAUGCGCUACAACCGAACUUGAAUCGUGGAAAGGCCAAAGUUUUAGAUUAGUUGUCGGUACCUUUCUGUGCAAUUGUGUAGUCGAGGUAAGUUUGUUUAAUGGGAAACUAACCAAUUUUGUAAUUUGGUAGAAAAUUUAUUUAUGUUGCGUUUUGUAUAAUUUCUUUGUAUAUAAAUUGUUAAUUUUUUAUUUAAGCGAUAUUGUAAGUUUGUGUAAUUUAAGAUAAUGUGUGUAAAACGUUGAGGAUUAGGGAAUGAUAUGGAAACAUGCUUCAUUUGAGCCCUAUGAAUACUUAGGAUACAAAUGACACAUCAUUAGGGAUUAUACAUUUUCAGGUGCCGGUCUUGGGUGUCUUACCAAUGGCUGAGGUCCUGCAUUUGUUGCGGAUUCUCCACAGCUCGUGUGAGCAGCAUUGUGCAGUUUAACAUCCCGACCUACAGCUCGUGUGAGCAGGCCCAUUUCACAGCAUGUGUGAGUAUUAAAUUAUACGAUUAUACUUACAUGUACAGGCACACUUCGUGUGAGCAUGGUUCUCGUGUAUCGUAAGUAGAUUCGUUUUGUUCAAUGGGUAUUAAAGUUUAAGCAAAAGUUUGAGAUGUAUAAAUGUUACGUUGGAUAUAUGUUGAAUGUUAUGUACCAGUUCACUAACUUGUGAGAAUGGUGAUUGAAAUUAGGAAUCAGUUAUACAUAUGAGCAUGCAAAUGGAAUAAUACAUGAACUUUAUAAAUUGAGUCUAUUUGGUAAGUUUUUGUUUAAGUUUAUACGUGCUUACUAAGCAUUAUAUGCUUAUGUAUUUGUCUAUCUUUUCUUGUAGAUCAUUGGAAAGCUCAAUCGAUUGGAAUUUCGUUGGAGCACAAUCACACUAUCCAAUCAUUGUUUUGGUAGCUUUCGAUUACUUUGGUUAAGGUUAUAAAUGACAUGUAAUAGGGCUUAAAUAUUAUCUUAGGUUGUUUUGAUUAGGUGCCAGGUCUAUUUGUAUUUUAUUGCCCUUUUUGGGGAUGUUUUGUAAACAUGGUAUAGAUAUGUGAUGUUAAAUUCUUAUGCAUACCCUUUUGAAAGUAAAUAACAUUGGUUGUUUUGGCAUGUUUUAGGCUUGUUUAAAAGUGUUUUUAAAGUAUGGAAAUGGUUGGUUUUGAUUUGGCUUGGAACCUAGGUGUUGGAUGAAAGUUUGCCUUGUUUUAGAAGCUUUUUAAGGUGCACACAACCUGCCUACACGACCAUGUGUCUUAUUAAUUUUUAGGUGCAGGAUUUUUCACACGGUCACAAUUAGUUAUCAGUCUGGCCACAUGGGCGUAUGGGGAAGCCACACGGCCGUGUGACCCCUAUUUUUAAAAGUUUCAAAUUUUUGCAUAUUUUUUUGUUUUGAUUCAAAUUAGUCCCGAAUUGUUCCCAAACUAUUUUUUAGGCCCCGUAAGCUCGAUUUAAGGCCCGUAAGUUUAUUAUUACCCUGAUUGUUAUGAGCUGUUAAAUGUUAUCAUUUAUUCUAUAUUUUUUUGUUUCUGUUUGAUGAUAAAUGUCUUGAUUUGUACUGUAACGCUCCGUAACCCCAAUCCAACAAUGGAGACAGGUUAGGGGUGUUACAGUAUAAGAAUUGAAUUAAGGCCCGUGUGAGCUUAGUGAAUGAUUAGGAUAAAAAUGAUAUGCCAUUAGGUUUAAUUAGGCACUAUGUGUCGGUGAUUAUAGUUAUCAAGUACUUUCUAUUGGUGUUACAAUUAUCAGGCACCCUAUGCCGGUGUUAUAUUUAUCAGGUACUAUGUGUCGGUGGUGGAUAUCAUACCGAUUACGUUGGAUAUAUGUUGUAUGUCCUAAUUGUCAGCUUGUGUGAGCACGAUUACCCAUGUAUCCAAAGUUAAUUUAUUAUAGUUCUCCGGGCAAAACUAAGUUAAUGAAAUGAAUGGAAAUGGAAUCAUAUGGCCUGAAAUGUUAUUCAUAGAUGGAAUGUGAAUUGGCAUGUAUUUUAUGCUAUUUAGAUGUCUUGAUGAUACUAUAUACUUAUGACUAACCAUUUGGUAUGGUAGGGAAUGUGUAACAUGGCAAGGAAUACUAAGUUAUAUGUUAAUUUCAAUUAGUAUGAUUUUAAAUGACAUGUAUGUUGUGUUUAAAUUAUACGAACUUACUAAACUUUAUGUAAGCUUACCUCAUUUCAUUUUCUUUCGUGUAGAUUAUCAGAUUUAAGCUGUUGAUUGGAUCAUCUUUGGAGACCACACUAUCUGUUAACUCUUUUGGUAGCUAUUUACUCAUUUUGGCCCGAUUAUAAGUGGCAUGUAAAUAGGUUAAUGACAGUAUAUGUACAUGAGUAGUUUGGUUAUGUUUUGU
RNAcentral lists this long non-coding RNA (2871 nucleotides) under Gossypium raimondii (Peruvian cotton). Its description in RNAcentral is "long non-coding RNA (GRAI_LNC005795)". The record is from RNAcentral. Lineage: Eukaryota; Viridiplantae; Streptophyta; Magnoliopsida; Malvales; Malvaceae.